UGGGGAAUAUUGCACAAUGGGCGCAAGCCUGAUGCAGCCAUGCCGCGUGUGUGAAGAAGGCCUUCGGGUUGUAAAGCACUUUCAGCGAGGAGGAAGGUGGUGAGCUUAAUACGCUCAUCAAUUGACGUUACUCGCAGAAGAAGCACCGGCUAACUCCGUGCCAGCAGCCGCGGUAAUACGGAGGGUGCAAGCGUUAAUCGGAAUUACUGGGCGUAAAGCGCACGCAGGCGGUUUGUUAAGUCAGAUGUGAAAUCCCCGGGCUCAACCUGGGAACUGCAUUUGAAACUGGCAAGCUAGAGUCUCGUAGAGGGGGGUAGAAUUCCAGGUGUAGCGGUGAAAUGCGUAGAGAUCUGGAGGAAUACCGGUGGCGAAGGCGGCCCCCCUGGACGAAGACUGACGCUCAGGUGCGAAAGCGUGGGGCAGCAAACAGGAUUAGAUACCCUGGUAGUCCACGCUGUAAACGAUGUCGAUUUGGAGGUUGUGCCCUUGAGGCGUGGCUUCCGGAGCUAACGCGUUAAAUCGACCGCCUGGGGAGUACGGCCGCAAGGUUAAAACUC
This 557-nucleotide ribosomal RNA is filed under the name uncultured bacterium. RNAcentral's name for it is "partial 16S ribosomal RNA". It matches the Rfam family "Bacterial small subunit ribosomal RNA", at positions 355 to 902 of the family's 1533-position model. The record is from RNAcentral.